GACGAACGCUGGCGGCGUGCUUAACACAUGCAAGUCGAACGAAGAGCGAUGGAAGCUUGCUUCUAUCAAUCUUAGUGGCGAACGGGUGAGUAACGCGUAAUCAACCUGCCCUUCAGAGGGGGACAACAGUUGGAAACGACUGCUAAUACCGCAUACGAUCUAAUCUCGGCAUCGAGGAUAGAUGAAAGGUGGCCUCUACAUGUAAGCUAUCACUGAAGGAGGGGAUUGCGUCUGAUUAGCUAGUUGGAGGGGUAACGGCCCACCAAGGCGAUGAUCAGUAGCCGGUCUGAGAGGAUGAACGGCCACAUCGGGACUGAGACACGGCCCAGACUCCUACGGGAGGCAGCAGUGGGGAAUCUUCCGCAAUGGACGAAAGUCUGACGGAGCAACGCCGCGUGAGUGAUGACGGCCUUCGGGUUGUAAAGCUCUGUUAAUCGGGACGAAAGGCCUUCUUGCGAAUAGUGAGAAGGAUUGACGGUACCGGAAU
Molecule: ribosomal RNA, 487 nt
Filed under: Veillonella parvula
Lineage: Bacteria; Bacillati; Bacillota; Negativicutes; Veillonellales; Veillonellaceae
Description: bacterial SSU rRNA
Rfam family: Bacterial small subunit ribosomal RNA
Source: RNAcentral